This 1159-nucleotide long non-coding RNA is filed under the name Monodelphis domestica (gray short-tailed opossum). RNAcentral describes it as "lncRNA (ENSMODG00000036823.1)". The record is from RNAcentral. Lineage: Eukaryota; Metazoa; Chordata; Mammalia; Didelphimorphia; Didelphidae.
CCCCUCUUUGCUCUCUGGCCUCUUUAUUUUCUGCUUCUCUCCAUCCUGUUCUAAUUCUUUCAAAAAGAAAUGUUUUCCUUCUCUUCUUUUCAUGUUAUGACACUAUUUGUAUAUCAUCAUCUUUAUGCUCAAAUUAUUUAAUGCUCACCCUCUUUUCUUGAGGAUAGCAUUUGGGGAUUUUAGGAGGGAGAACUGAAAGUUGUCCAUAUUCUUAACCCCUCACUUACAAUGUGCAUAUCACCACUCAAUGGACAUUAUUCAAAGAUGUCCAUGAUUUGACCUGAUCCUCCCUUUCCUGAAACAUCUCACUGCUACCUUCACAUUUUUCAUGCUGUUAAAGUAUAGGUUUCUGAAUGCAUAAUUCAACUUCUUUCUGAGCUCCACAAAUGACUCAUAGUAAGCCCAUUUCUGGGCUUUUGUAUUUCAAGAACUAAUUUAAAAUUCUAUAUCUCUUACAUAGGACCAAUGUGACCUUCAGGAGAUUAUUCUAUAGCUCUGAGCUUUAUUUAUCUCCUUCACAAAUGGAAGGAAUUUUACUAGAUGAUUCUUUAUCUCCCUUUCAGUAUUGAACGUGUGAUUUCCAUCUUAACUACUUGUUUCUAAAAAUAUUAACCCUCUAUUUCAAUUCAUGCCUCCCUAUUUUGCACGGUUUUCUCCAGCAUUUGGAAUGAAGAAUACCUCUCCCUCCCUUGAAGCCCUAUUACUUCUCAUGUUUCAGAGAAUCUAAACCCAAAUCUCAAGCUCCUCCAGGAAGGGUGUAAAAAAAACUAUGGCUGAAUGAAUUCAAUUGCAUUAACAGCAGUUACAGAGCUGGAAGGCAGAGUUGCACAAAUUCAUCAGUCAAAUUCUCUCUUCAAGAAUCAUGGAAAUCCAAUGGCAUGACAAAAGACUGGUGAAGACUGAGGAUUGAGUGAAUGACCUUGGUGUCUUCAAUGUCUGACCAAGCUCUAAACCAUAUUAUAUAACAUACAUCAACUUUGACUGCUUUUACGACCACUGGAAAAAUAUUUUCUCAUCUGUCCAUUCUUAAAGGGGAAAUCUUCAUACACUUUUCUUUUAGGCAUUCCCUUUACUCACUUUACUUACUUUUUUUUUGAGGAAACCAUGAUAGUAUGAAAACAAAAUACAUCAAUAAAAGUUAUUGGUGAAUAUGAAAUAU